Molecule: ribosomal RNA, 465 nt
Filed under: Vreelandella stevensii
Lineage: Bacteria; Pseudomonadati; Pseudomonadota; Gammaproteobacteria; Oceanospirillales; Halomonadaceae
Description: partial 16S ribosomal RNA
Rfam family: Bacterial small subunit ribosomal RNA
Source: RNAcentral
CCUACGGGUGGCAGCAGUGGGGAAUAUUGGACAAUGGGCGAAAGCCUGAUCCAGCCAUGCCGCGUGUGUGAAGAAGGCCUUCGGGUUGUAAAGCACUUUCAGUGGGGAAGAAAGCCUUGGGGCUAAUACCCUCGAGGAAGGACAUCACCCACAGAAGAAGCACCGGCUAACUCCGUGCCAGCAGCCGCGGUAAUACGGAGGGUGCGAGCGUUAAUCGGAAUUACUGGGCGUAAAGCGCGCGUAGGCGGUCUGAUAAGCCGGUUGUGAAAGCCCCGGGCUCAACCUGGGAACGGCAUCCGGAACUGUCAGGCUAGAGUGCAGGAGAGGAAGGUAGAAUUCCCGGUGUAGCGGUGAAAUGCGUAGAGAUCGGGAGGAAUACCAGUGGCGAAGGCGGCCUUCUGGACUGACACCGACGCUGAGGUGCGAAAGCGUGGGUAGCAAACAGGAUUAGAUACCCGAGUAGUC